UACGGAGGAUGCAAGCGUUAUCCGGAAUGAUUGGGCGUAAAGCGUCCGCAGGUGGCAAUGUAAGUCUGCUGUUAAAGAGUCUAGCUCAACUAGAUAAAAGCAGUGGAAACUACAUAGCUAGAGUACGUUCGGGGCAGAGGGAAUUCCUGGUGUAGCGGUGAAAUGCGUAGAGAUCAGGAAGAACACCAGUGGCGAAAGCGCUCUACUGGACGGUGACUGACACUCAGGGACGAAAGCUAGGGGAGCGAAUGGG
Molecule: ribosomal RNA, 253 nt
Filed under: uncultured bacterium
Lineage: Bacteria
Description: partial 16S ribosomal RNA
Rfam family: Bacterial small subunit ribosomal RNA
Source: RNAcentral